This 611-nucleotide long non-coding RNA is filed under the name Malus domestica (apple). RNAcentral describes it as "long non-coding RNA (MDOM_LNC018977)". The record is from RNAcentral. Lineage: Eukaryota; Viridiplantae; Streptophyta; Magnoliopsida; Rosales; Rosaceae.
AAUCACUUGAAACUGACUCAAAUACGUAAAAACAAGUUUAAAACACUAAACUAGACUCAAAGAAUGCAAAACUAAACUUUAAAACACCAAAACAAACGAAAAGACUCAAAACAGCAAACAAACACUCAGAACUGCCUUAAAAACACUUUCUGGGCAGUUUUGACACCUAACACUAAAUUGGACGAAAUUGGGUUAUAAUUUGACUCAAGACCCUUAAAAACACAAACUAAAUUAAUUUCUACUUAAUCUAACACUUUAAAUUAAAUGGGGAAAUGGUUUUGACGAAAAUUGAAAACAAAAACAAAACUUGUAAAUUGAACAAAUUCUAAAACGAAUUUGAGAAAAGUGAAUGGAUGGAAAGCUAGCUAUGGGGUUCUUCUCCACACAUGUCACACUUGCAUACAAAACGAUUUCCAAUUGCUUUUCGAUAAACCAUGAAUUCCCAACACCCCAGAUUAACCGUGAAUUGUACUAAUUAACCCUCAGAUUUUCCUUAAGUUAUUGAAUUGGAUGAAUUGCAUACGACAACCCAAAGCAUUCCCCACAAGUUCCCUACAUGAAUUGCAUAAUAGAGAUACAAGGAAGAAUCAUUAAGUUCUAUGACAAUCAUA